CUGACGACGGAGGCCGAAGCCGAUCCACGGAGAAAAAUCAAACUAGUUUGAAGCAACCAAAGUUUUGGUUGACGUUCAAAGUCUGAAUUUGGUUGUUCCAAGCAUUUGUUUCUUCCAAAGUAAAACAUGCUUAGAUACAAACCAUGACUACAAUUUCAAUCAAUCGCUGGCAUGUUUAAUUUUACCAAAUGUUAGGUUGAUGAAAAUAGCUCAUGGUUGACAAAUACAACUUAGGUUGGAUUAAACUAAUAAAGGCAACAAAACUGACCUAAAAAUUUAGUUGGGUGAAAUCCAAGCUAAGAAAAGAUUCGAAGCGAACUAAAAUAUUAGUUUGUUCACACCACCGUUAGCUGCGUCGCGUCGGUCGGAUUCUUUGCUGUUUCAUUGUUGUCAUCGAGUGAGUUAUCGUGUACAUGGGAGCAAGAUUGGAAGUUCGAUUGGCGAGCUGGUCGAGCGUUUGCGACCAUUUCAGGACAGCUGUAUCAUCCGGAGGCGCCUCAGAAAAAUCACCAGCGUACGGAUUAUGACAAGGAAGGCGCAUCCAAUUACCGAAUAGUGUUCCGCCCGGCUUUUGCGGCUCAGGCGCAAUUUGUGAAAUUCGACGCUUUUCUUGGGGCGGAGAUCAUGGUUUCGGGAAUCCACCUGAUCCGGACACUAAAUGGCUACCGCCGUCACCGUCAACAAUCUGCAACUCCGUUAUUCCAGCUCCUUGCUCGUUUCGGUCUCUAGGACCACCACAAUCCUAGCCCUGACGGAAGUAACAGAAGUGGAUUGAUUUGUGGUACCGUGACAUCACUUAAUUCCAUCCACUUUUUUCGGUUCAUAAUUCCAUUCACGCCAUUAGUUUUGCAUGGUGUGAAUAGAAUUAGGAACCAAAAAAUGUAAUUGGAAUUGAGUGAUGUCUCGGUACACGAAAUGUAAGCCAAAUAGGAUAAAUAAUAACGUUUCCCUAAGAAUAAACGAAAGAUUGGCACGAA
Molecule: long non-coding RNA, 977 nt
Organism: Aedes albopictus (Asian tiger mosquito)
Lineage: Eukaryota; Metazoa; Arthropoda; Insecta; Diptera; Culicidae
Exons: 3
Source: RefSeq, a predicted model, not a curated record